Long non-coding RNA from Carassius gibelio (silver crucian carp), 980 nucleotides. RefSeq lists it as uncharacterized. The transcript has 4 exons. NCBI's taxonomy places the organism in Eukaryota, Metazoa, Chordata, Actinopteri, Cypriniformes, Cyprinidae. The record is from RefSeq and is a predicted model, not a curated record.
GCCGUUCCCUGUGGAGUCUAGGUGUGUAUAAAGCAGUAAAUCUCUCUGUUUUAUGUUAAUACUGAUAAUGACAGAAGCGGUGUCGUUCCUGUGUAUCUGCAGUCUUCUGAGUGUGUUCUCCGACUGCUUGAAUGCAGAAAUCGCAGCAGGCACAGUCACCUCAAAACAAGACGCCAUGGAUUACAUCACCUGGAUGUCCUUCUUCCUCAGGCUGGUCAUGAACCCCAGGACGAGCACACCAUCGAGCCGCUGAGGUACGACCGGAUCCUACUAUUCCCUGAAACACCAGACCAGCCACAUGAAGCCAGAGCUGCCCGUCCAAGAGCUGCUGGCCAUCCUGUCGGAGGAGGAGCGCCAAAGGUGCGAGGGGCGGAGGUGGCUAUCAAGGCCCAAUCGAGGGGCUUCCAGAGCUAAUGGCUGCCUGUUACGGGAAAAGAGGACAACAGGAUGAUGAAGGAUGUCCUGCAGCCCAAUCAGAUCUCUCAGUUGUACUGAUGAGCGACGGCUACCUCGGCCUGGAUCCACCUGAACCUCAUCCCAGCCAGCAACAGAGAGACUGAAGUGACCUCAUGCUUCGUCAGAACUAAACCAAAGUUUCCCUCUUGGCUUGGAUGUUAAUUUGAUGGCCAAUUCUUCAAUUCUUGUUGUGAGUUCUAGGAAAAACUACACUGAUUUUUAUUUAUUUAUUAUUAUUAUUAUUAUUAUUGGUUCAAUUAAACAUGAUUAGAAGAUCUGGCCCAAAAAAUCUAUUUCCCCACUGAUUUCAUAUCUAAGGAGAGAGAGAUCAGAUUCAAGAGGAACCUUCUAGAUCAGUCUCAUCAGAAAGUCCUGCCUUAUUACCCUUCUAUUACCCUUAUUCACCAUUUUAGGGCAAACGUUAUAUUUGUUAAUUUAAAAUAUAAAAACAAAUAUUGUUUUUGCUUCUGAAUUCUGGAAACGUUCAGUGUGAAAAUAAACUUUGUUAAAAAAAAAUCAAAUAA